This 1339-nucleotide long non-coding RNA is filed under the name Sus scrofa (pig). RNAcentral's name for it is "lncRNA (ENSSSCG00070005891.1)". The record is from RNAcentral. Lineage: Eukaryota; Metazoa; Chordata; Mammalia; Artiodactyla; Suidae.
AGAGGGGGCAGGCGUGGGACUGAGGGCCCGAGCCGAGGCCGGGAGGCCAACAGCGGCCAGGCCACGGAGGACUUGGCAGCCGUGGAAGGCAUGUGGCCUUUCUCCUGGGAGCGGAGGGGAGACCCAGAGGAUGACAGAACUGGAGCCGCUUUUGAAGAGACUGUGGAGGAGGAAAAGGAUCGGAUUCGGAGCCCCUUCCAGAUAGCAAGUUCCGCAGAGACCCAGAGACUGCAGGUGUGGCUGGUCCUGACCCUGGCCUUGGACGAGUGCCCCACACCCAAGGUCUCCACGGCCCCUCCUCCCAGGCCUCCUCUAAGACCUGCCAGCCCAGAGGUCCUGGCAGGCAUCUCUUGGACACAGUCCCAGGGCGUGGGACUUGAUGGCUGAGUGUGCUGAUCCCCAGGAGGGGGCCCCCAGAGCAAGGGGGCAGGAAGUCCUGUCACUUCCCUGCCAGAGACAUCCCCCAUCUGUCCCUCACUGCAGGUUCCUGCAUCUCGCGCCUGCGUUGUCCUGCAGGGCACGAACCUACAUCAUCACUGUUCAUACAGCCAGGUGUAAUUUAUAACUUACAGGGUCGGGCACGAUUCUUUUUCUCCCCCCUUUUAUUUAUUUAUUUUUUUGCUUUUUUAGGGCUGCACCUGUGGCACAUAGGAGUUCCCAGAUGAGGGGCUGCAUCAGAGCUGCAGCUACCAGCACAUGCCACAGUCAUGCCAGAUCUGAGCCACAUCUGUGACCCACAACCACAGCUCACGGCAACGCCAAAUCCUUAACCCACUGAGCGAGGCCAGGGAUCGAACCCAUAUCCUCAUGGGUACUAGUCGGGUUCUUAACCCACUGAGCCACAAUGGGGACUUCGUUCUUUUUUCUUUUUAUGGCCACACCUGCAGCAUAUGGGAGUUCCCAUAGGGGUGGAAUUGGAGCUGCAUAUGUGGUGUAAGCCACAGCCACGGCAACACUGGAUCUGAGCCACAUCUGUGAUCUAUUCUGGCAGCUUAUGGCAACACAGGAUCCCUAACCCACUGAGCAAGGCCAGGGAUUGAACUUGCAUCCUCACAGGGACAAUGUUGCACCUUAACCCACUGAGCCACAAUGGGAACUCCUGUUUUUGGUCACCCGCAGCAUGCAAAUUCCCAGGCCAGGGAUCGAACUUGUGACACAACAGUGACCUGAGCCACUGCAGGGACAACGCCGGAUCCUUAACUCGCUGAGUCACCAGGGAACUCUGAAAUGCACGCUUUUCAAGUUUGCAGCUGUGCAAGCCUGUGUGACCUCCACCCAGGUCACAACGUGGACACGCCCAGCCCCCAGGACACCUGUCUUGUGAGGCUGGCCCCCGGGC